This 468-nucleotide ribosomal RNA is filed under the name uncultured bacterium. RNAcentral describes it as "partial 16S ribosomal RNA". It matches the Rfam family "Bacterial small subunit ribosomal RNA", at positions 28 to 507 of the family's 1533-position model. The record is from RNAcentral.
GACAAACGCUGGCGGCGUGCUUAACACAUGCAAGUCGAACGGAAAGGCCCUGCUUUUGUGGGGUGCUCGAGUGGCGAACGGGUGAGUAACACGUGAGUAACCUGCCCUUGACUUUGGGAUAACUUCAGGAAACUGGGGCUAAUACCGGAUAGGAGCUCCUGCUGCAUGGUGGGGGUUGGAAAGUUUCGGCGGUUGGGGAUGGACUCGCGGCUUAUCAGCUUGUUGGUGGGGUAGUGGCUUACCAAGGCUUUGACGGGUAGCCGGCCUGAGAGGGUGACCGGCCACAUUGGGACUGAGAUGCGGCCCAGACUCCUACGGGAGGCAGCAGUGGGGAAUAUUGCACAAUGGGCGGAAGCCUGAUGCAGCAACGCCGCGUGCGGGAUGACGGCCUUCGGGUUGUAAACCGCUUUCGCCUGUGACGAAGCGUGAGUGACGGUAAUGGGUAAAGAAGCACCGGCUAACUACGUG